RNAcentral lists this ribosomal RNA (461 nucleotides) under Streptococcus parasanguinis. RNAcentral's name for it is "bacterial SSU rRNA". It matches the Rfam family "Bacterial small subunit ribosomal RNA", at positions 28 to 472 of the family's 1533-position model. The record is from RNAcentral. Lineage: Bacteria; Bacillati; Bacillota; Bacilli; Lactobacillales; Streptococcaceae.
GAUGAACGCUGGCGGCGUGCCUGAUACAUGCAAGUAGAACGCUGAAGCUUGGUGCUUGCACCGAGCGGAUGAGUUGCGAACGGGUGAGUAACGCGUAGGUAACCUGCCUCUUAGCGGGGGAUAACUAUUGGAAACGAUAGCUAAUACCGCAUAAAAGACGAUAUCGCAUGAUAUUGAUUUGAAAGGUGCAAAUGCAUCACUAAGAGAUGGACCUGCGUUGUAUUAGCUAGUUGGUGAGGUAACGGCUCACCAAGGCAACGAUACAUAGCCGACCUGAGAGGGUGAUCGGCCACACUGGGACUGAGACACGGCCCAGACUCCUACGGGAGGCAGCAGUAGGGAAUCUUCGGCAAUGGGGGCAACCCUGACCGAGCAACGCCGCGUGAGUGAAGAAGGUUUUCGGAUCGUAAAGCUCUGUUGUAAGAGAAGAACGAGUGUGAGAGUGGAAAGUCACACUGUGA